CUUCAGAUGAUGAUCCCAAGCCUUCUGGCGAUCUAUGAAAAUGAGCCUCUGUUUGGCUUUUAGGAAGAUGUUUUUCCAUUUUGUAAGAUUAUGCCGGGGAAGGUUUUCCGGUUUAUCCCGGAGGGCUUGUAGCUCAGUUGGUUAGAGCGCGCGCUUGAUAAGCGUGAGGUCGGAGGUUCAAGUCCUCCCAGGCCCACCAUUUGUGGGUGCUUGUAGAGUGCUUGUUAUGUGUGAACGUUGAGAGUGUGACGUUUUUCAAUUACGUUGAAGUUGUAGGAAUUCAGGUUCGUUUGUGAGUUUCAGUCAUUUAUUUUUAGGGGCCGUAGCUCAGCUGGGAGAGCACCUGCUUUGCAAGCAGGGGGUCGUCGGUUCA
This 373-nucleotide unclassified non-coding RNA is filed under the name uncultured Bartonella sp. Its description in RNAcentral is "partial 16S-23S ribosomal RNA intergenic spacer". The stretch from base 123 to 196 matches the Rfam family "tRNA". The record is from RNAcentral. Lineage: Bacteria; Pseudomonadati; Pseudomonadota; Alphaproteobacteria; Hyphomicrobiales; Bartonellaceae.